AGGCGGCAACCCCGUUACCCCGCAUAGCGCAGCCAUGGGCAGCCUGCAGACGCAGCGAAUGCUAAGCGGCGUUGUGCCCCCUGCUCCCUGCCAGAAAGCGAGGCUGCCCUUUAGCCGCUCAACGCGAUACAGCUUUUUGCUUGGGAGAGGGGGGGAUCAUUACUUCCCAAUGUUCCCCCCAGCUCUGCCCGCCGCACCCCGCUGCCCCAAAGGAGGGCCCCAUUCGCCAGCACCACAAGCACGACGGGAUUGGCGGCGCGCCCCCUUUCUUCCGCCCCGCCCCGGCGCGGCGCCCCCCCCCGGUCGUUUUGUCCCCGGCGGCCGUUGUUCUGCGCUUGCGGCCUCCGCGGGCGGUGCGGAAGGGGGCACCGGCGUUCCCCGCGCCCCACGGGCCAGGGGCAAGCCGCCCACGCCCCGCGGCGGCAAGGGGUGGGGGGGGGGGGCGCCAACCCCCCACCACCUGGCGGCAGCCCCAAAACCGACGCGGGCCGCCGCCCCCGGCCGGGGAGGCCACACCCAAGCCCUGACAGCGGCGCAGGCACCAAAGCGCCCCGCCCAGCGCCAGCCGCACCCCGCCCUUUAUUUUCAUCACGGCAACGUUUCACUACGUCAUUAAUUCGAGGUCAUGGCUUGGCAAGCUGACCGGCCUCGACGCAACUUGAUCAACCGAAUCGAAUCUCGACCCCAUUCGCUACGCGGAGGCCUACCCCAAGAGCAAGGGUAUCGGCUGUGUUCUGGUGUACGGCCACAGGAAAGACAAGGCACGCAUCUGAGUCACCCUGCAAAGGGCCAACGGUGAGAUGCAGGGCGGCAUUGUGCCCCCCUGGGCACACAGAAGUGGGGCGCAAACUUGUUCACCAUGAAGGAUGACAAGGUAUGCGGGCAUAACGGCAUCAGUAUGAAGGGCUUCGUCGCGGGUGCUGUUUUGCUCACCUCAGUGUUUCUGAAAAUGAAGCGUAUGGAGUCCGUCCGCUACGCCUUCUCCUUCGACGAGGAAGUCGACUGCAUUGUUGUCCCAUAUCUUACCUCGCACCUCAAGGAGCACGGCUUCAUGACAGACGGCUGCAUCACAGAAGAGGUGCGACUCGCAUGUCUGUGUGCACUGCGAACACGGGUUUUGCUUCAGGGAAGGUUGAGGUAGAGGGUAAGGUGAUUCACUCCUCCUUGGUGGCGAGGAAGAGCUGCAACGUCAUCGAGUACACGGCUUCGAUCAUUCCCAAGAUCCGUUAGGCGGUGCUUGGGCUCCGCGAACGGGUCGGGGUGCACGCUAGCCCGCGCCGCUGCCGCGCCGGUCGACUCCCCACACUUGUACCCCCAUGCCUACCUGUAUGAUUGAGUGUGGCAGCGCCGCAAGCACGGUCCCGGCAGUGCGCAACUUCGUUCUCCGCGUUUGUUUCACCGACCCCAUCGUGCCCAUGAAGACACUUUGAUCACCGAAAUCGGCAACACUGUACUCCCGAAGAUGCGGCAGAAGUGUCUAGACGCCACGGCAGAGCUUUUGAAAACGGUGUUUAUCGAAUCCCUCAAUGCCAGCAAGGAGGCCGCACUCACGACGGGUGUGCGAUGCCUCUGCAAGGUUGAGAUUGUAUGGAAGAAGAGCGACAGCAUUGAGUCGGGCCUCUUCCAGGAGUGCCUCGAGAUUCCCUUAGUGAUUGUGACGCCAGGGUCGAUCCAAGUGGGGCACACAGCAAGCGAGCAUGUGCAUGUGGCCGUGAUGGAGCAUUGCUGGAUCUUAAGCAGGCAACGACUCCGCGUAGGAGGGUAGUUAAUUGUCUCUCUUUGUUCUUUUCAGCAUUGAAAGCGCUUCGUACUUGUGCCGCCAAGCUUGUGGGACAUCCAGAUGACGUGCUCUGCGGGUCUUCACAGCAUUCGAUGUUUGUGUUCUCUCACCUCGACCUUCAUUCUUCAUUGAUCCAGGGAAGGAGGCGCAGCGCGUCUGAUAUCGGCCUUCCCUUCUACUUUUGUUCUUACUCCUGCUGUUGAGGAACUGCGCGCACCCACGUUGUACGCUUUCUCUCUCUCUUGGUUUUCCUCGCUUGCUCUUUCUCAGUGACUCUCGCUCUUCCCUGAUAACCUGUCUGCCAUACGAUCACGAUCCUUGCGCCACUCUAACAACGGCGCUGCUUACGCAUGUAUUGACAAAGAUAGCACGCAAAUCCACACACACGCACAGGAUAGGCUGCAAGCCACGUGCAUGCAGCCGCAGUCCGUAGUAGACAGCUGGUUUGUCGUGAAAGAGGAUCCCCGUCUGCUUGGCAUGCCGACGAUGUGAAUGUGAUGCACAUUAGGGGGCACAGGAGCAACUCACCCGUCUCUCCCCUCUUCCAUGCUACCGUGCACCCUUCAGUCCUUUCCUCCGUUCCUCCUGUUUUCAUACGGUGUUGCCCUUGACACUCCGCCUAG
Molecule: unclassified non-coding RNA, 2403 nt
Filed under: Leishmania donovani
Lineage: Eukaryota; Euglenozoa; Kinetoplastea; Trypanosomatida; Trypanosomatidae
Description: gene:LdHU3.31.3680(CDS-product:hypothetical_prote in)
Source: RNAcentral